CUUCGGUGAUGAUGCGAUGACGAGUCGGAAUGGUACAUUAGCUCUCUCUGGAUUGUGGGUCAGUGGACAUGUUCUGUGUCCCUGAUUUCAUUUCCUCAGUGGCAUGUUCCUUUUGCUUGAAGACAUCGAGGCAUUUGUCUGAGAAGA
Molecule: small nucleolar RNA, 147 nt
Organism: Tachysurus fulvidraco (yellow catfish)
Lineage: Eukaryota; Metazoa; Chordata; Actinopteri; Siluriformes; Bagridae
Source: RefSeq, a predicted model, not a curated record